GAAGAGAGAGUUAAAGAGCACGUGAAAUCGGUAAGGUGGAAACGGAUAGAGUUGACGUAUAUGGCUUGUAUUCAGCCGUUGGGAUUAUGCGUAACAAUGGGUUGUUUUGCGUUAGCCGGUAUAAUAUACAGUAUUUUCGAAUAGUGUUUAUAUUGGGCUGGUUUAGCGCGCAGUCCAUUUGUGUUUACGUUUUUUAGCGGUGCAUUUACAAGUCAAUGUGCGCUGGGACAUGCGCGUUUCGGUCGUCGAAGAAGUUUGGUGCAAGAGGUUACUUUUUUGAUAUUUUUAAAUUUAUUUAAAAAUAUCAGGGUAAAACCGUGCUCCUUUCGGAGGCGAUUCGUCGUGCAUGAUAAAUAUUAUUGAAUGUCUUUGUACAUUUUAAAGGAUGGCAUUUUUUUAAUUAAAAAUGCGAAUGUUUAAAUUUAAUUGUAUUUGUUGAUUAUAUGAGUCGCGUGCGACGCGUAUAAUUUAUUUAAAAAAAAAUAAAAUAAAUACAAUUAUUUAAACGUUUCCCACUUUCCUUUAUCCCGGUGUAAAAGUCAAUCAUCUAUCCGACCCGUCUUGAAACACGGACCAAGGAGUUUAACGUAUACGCGAGUCAUUGGGUGUUGAAAACCUAAAGGCGUAAUGAAAGUAAAUGUAUUUCUUUGAAAAUACAAAUAUGCGAUCCCAUAAAUUUCGAUUUAAGGGCGCAGCAUAGCCCCGUUUUUGUCGCAUGCGAUGGAGCGGAGGAAGAGCGUAUGCGUUGAGACCCGAAAGAUGGUGAACUAUGCCUGAGCAGGACGAAGCCAGAGGAAACUCUGGUGGAAGUCCGAAUCGGUUCUGACGUGCAAAUCGAUCGUCUGACUUGGGUAUAGGGGCGAAAGACUAAUCGAACUAUC
This 881-nucleotide ribosomal RNA is filed under the name Fergusobia sp. SPG M. nodosa. Its description in RNAcentral is "eukaryotic LSU rRNA". It matches the Rfam family "Eukaryotic large subunit ribosomal RNA", at positions 378 to 944 of the family's 3401-position model. Lineage: Eukaryota; Metazoa; Nematoda; Chromadorea; Rhabditida; Neotylenchidae. The record is from RNAcentral.